AAAUUGAAGAGUUUGAUCAUGGCUCAGAUUGAACGCUGGCGGCAGGCCUAACACAUGCAAGUCGAACGGUAACAGGAAGCGCUUGCUGCUUCGCUGACGAGUGGCGGACGGGUGAGUAAUGUCUGGGAAACUGCCUGAUGGAGGGGGCUAACUACUGGAAACGGUAGCUAAUACCGCAUAACGUCGCAAGACCAAAGAGGGGGACCUUCGGGCCUCUUGCCAUCGGAUGUGCCCAGAUGGGAUUAGCUUGUUGGUGGGGUA
RNAcentral lists this ribosomal RNA (261 nucleotides) under Escherichia coli. RNAcentral describes it as "partial 16S ribosomal RNA". It matches the Rfam family "Bacterial small subunit ribosomal RNA", at positions 1 to 259 of the family's 1533-position model. Lineage: Bacteria; Pseudomonadati; Pseudomonadota; Gammaproteobacteria; Enterobacterales; Enterobacteriaceae. The record is from RNAcentral.